AACGAACGCUGGCGGCAUGCCUAACACAUGCAAGUCGAACGAGACCUUCGGGUCUAGUGGCGCACGGGUGCGUAACGCGUGGGAACCUGCCCUUAGGUUCGGAAUAACUCCCCGAAAGGGGUGCUAAUACCGGAUAAUGUCUUCGGACCAAAGAUUUAUCGCCUUUGGAUGGGCCCGCGUUGGAUUAGCUAGUUGGUAGGGUAAAAGCAUACCAAGGCGACGAUCCAUAGCUGGUCUGAGAGGAUGAUCAGCCACACUGGGACUGAGACACGGCCCAGACUCCUACGGGAGGCAGCAGUGGGGAAUAUUGGACAAUGGGCGAAAGCCUGAUCCAGCAAUGCCGCGUGAGUGAUGAAGGCCGUAGGGUUGUAAAGCUCUUUUACCCGGGAUGAUAAUGACAGUACCGGGAGAAUAAGCUCCGGCUAACUCCGUG
Molecule: ribosomal RNA, 433 nt
Filed under: uncultured bacterium
Lineage: Bacteria
Description: partial 16S ribosomal RNA
Rfam family: Bacterial small subunit ribosomal RNA
Source: RNAcentral